RNAcentral lists this ribosomal RNA (208 nucleotides) under uncultured bacterium. RNAcentral's name for it is "partial 16S ribosomal RNA". It matches the Rfam family "Bacterial small subunit ribosomal RNA", at positions 568 to 775 of the family's 1533-position model. The record is from RNAcentral.
CGCGCAGGCGGUCGAUCAAGUCGAGUGUGAAAGCCCCCGGCUCAACUGGGGAGGGUCAUUCGAUACUGAUCGACUCGAAGGCAGGAGAGGGUAGUGGAAUUCCCGGUGUAGUGGUGAAAUGCGUAGAUAUCGGGAGGAACACCAGUGGCGAAGGCGACUACCUGGCCUGUUCUUGACGCUGAGGCGCGAAAGCUAGGGGAGCAAACGG